Molecule: long non-coding RNA, 627 nt
Organism: Oncorhynchus tshawytscha (Chinook salmon)
Lineage: Eukaryota; Metazoa; Chordata; Actinopteri; Salmoniformes; Salmonidae
Source: Ensembl
CAUUCUUCCAUCACAUGUACAGCUGAUUCUCAAGAUCUUGUACACUAAUGAGAUGCUAUUGAACCCACACUACUACACUGUCUGAGCCAAGGACUACAUGCUUUCUGGAAAAUGCCACGGGCACUAUCUGAUGUGUGGAGACAUUUCACUGUAGCUAACGUAGAAGGAAAAGCAGUGUCAAUUUGUAAAUACUGUGCCAAAUCAUAUGUGAAGAAUGCAACAAAGAUGCAAAAUCAUCUGGCCAAGUGCAUAAAGUUCCCUCAGCGCUCACAACAAGCAACAACCUCUGACAAAAGUCCCUCUACUUCUAUUCGAGUAUUCUACAAGAGCACAGACCCAAGGGACAACAUACGCACCGGUCUCUACAUUGCAGAUGAGCUGAAGGCAGUCAUCAAUGACCUUGGACCACAGAAGGAGUUUGCACUGGGGACAGACAAUGCUGUGAACAUGAAGGCUGCUUGGUCUAAAGUGGGAGGAGUCCUUCCCUCACAUCACACCCAUUGGCUGUGCUGCUCAUGCAUUGAAUCUGCUCCUCAAGGACAUGAUGGCACUGAAAACAAUGGAUACACUCUACAAGAGAGCCAAGGAAAUGGUUAGGUAUGUGAAGGGUCAUCAAGAUAUAGCAGC